CCUACGGGAGGCAGCAGUGGGGGAUAUUGCACAAUGGGGGGAACCCUGAUGCAGCGACGCCGCGUGGGUGAAGAAGCGCCUCGGCGCGUAAAGCCCUGUCAGCAGGGAAGAAAAUGACGGUACCUGAAGAAGAAGCACCGGCUAACUACGUGCCAGCAGCCGCGGUAAUACGUAGGGGGCAAGCGUUAUCCGGAUUUACUGGGUGGAAAGGGGGCGCAGACGGCGAUGCAAGCCAGGAGUGAAAGCCCGGGGCCAAACCCCGGGACUGCUCUUGGAACUGCGUGGCUGGAGUGCAGGAGGGGCAGGCGGAAUUCCUGGUGUAGCGGUGAAAUGCGUAGAUAUCAGGAGGAACACCGGUGGCGAAGGCGGCCUGCUGGACUGCAACUGACGUUGAGGCCCGAAAGCGUGGGGAGCAAACAGGAUUAGAUACCCUAGUAGUC
Molecule: ribosomal RNA, 440 nt
Filed under: uncultured bacterium
Lineage: Bacteria
Description: partial 16S ribosomal RNA
Rfam family: Bacterial small subunit ribosomal RNA
Source: RNAcentral